UACCGAUUUCAAUAGCGUAGGG
This 22-nucleotide small nuclear RNA is filed under the name Arabidopsis thaliana (thale cress). RNAcentral describes it as "snRNA_14173". Lineage: Eukaryota; Viridiplantae; Streptophyta; Magnoliopsida; Brassicales; Brassicaceae. The record is from RNAcentral.